GGACGAACGCUGGCGGCGUGCCUAACACAUGCAAGUCGAGCGAGGAGAUCCUUCGGGAUGAUCCUAGCGGCGGACGGGUGAGUAACACGUGGGCAACCUGCCCCAUAGAGAGGAAUAGCCUUCCGAAAGGGAGAUUAAUACCUCAUAACAUUGCAGUUUCGCAUGGAACAGCAAUUAAAGGAGUAAUCCGCUAUGAGAUGGGCCCGCGGCGCAUUAGCUAGUUGGUGAGGUAACGGCUCACCAAGGCGACGAUGCGUAGCCGACCUGAGAGGGUGAUCGGCCACAUUGGGACUGAGACACGGCCCAGACUCCUACGGGAGGCAGCAGUGGGGAAUAUUGCACAAUGGGGGAAACCCUGAUGCCAGCAACGCCGCGUGAGUGAUGACGGCCUUCGGGUUGUAAAGCUCUGUCUUCAGGGACGAUAAUGACGGUACCUGAGGAGGAAGCCACGGCUAACUACGUGCCAGCCGCCGC
Molecule: ribosomal RNA, 474 nt
Filed under: uncultured bacterium
Lineage: Bacteria
Description: bacterial SSU rRNA
Rfam family: Bacterial small subunit ribosomal RNA
Source: RNAcentral